Molecule: non-coding RNA, 135 nt
Organism: Triticum aestivum (bread wheat)
Lineage: Eukaryota; Viridiplantae; Streptophyta; Magnoliopsida; Poales; Poaceae
Source: Rfam
CAACUACUUCUUCCGUUCCAAAAUUCUUGCCUUAGACUUGUCUAAAUACAGAUGUAUCAAAUCACGUCUUAGUAUUAGAUACAUCCAUAUCUAGACGAAUCGAAUACAAGAAUUUUGAAAUGAAUGGAGUACUAA